UCACAGACCCUAAAUCUCUGGGCACUCUCCUUGGCUUGACAGAACCCUCCCUGUUUGCAGGGCACUGGCUGGGGCAGGUUCUGUUUGCAGCUUGGAAAAAGGACAGCUCAGACUGAGUCUGAUGGCUCCAGCAAAUGUGAAUCUUGGGCUGUCCAUGGGCAGAGUGGCUGCUUUGGCGGGGCUUGACAGCUGGCCUGCAAGCAAAGCUGAGUUAAUAGAAGAAAUAACAAUUGAUGAUUUUCGGUGUAUCCAUAGCAAGGAAGAAGACAAGGCCGUCAGCAUGGAAACCGAUUAGAAAAGAUACAUGAGAAUUUUUGUAAGCUAGACUACGUGCCUAAGUGGAUGUGUAUACGUGCCUUAUUAAAUUUCUGUUAAACUUUUGCCAAUUAUAUUGACACUGAUUGCUUGGCACCAAUGAAUAUAAAAAGUUAUUGUGAUGUAGUUAAUAACUUAAGAUCACGCUUUGUUAAGGGUGUAUGAACUGGAGAAGAUGCAGAAUAAAAACUUUUUUUCUUCCUGGACUUUGGUCACGUGUGUAUGUCACGUCUGGCCUAAAGGUGACAUUUGGUGCUACCCUGACCUGAUGGAACUGCCGGGCGAGGGGCAGUGAGCACAGAGCCCAGCGAAGCUGAGAGCAGCGGGGUGCAGCUGCCAGUCCAGACCUGAUUCUGACACCUGGAAAAAAGCCCUUCAAGGCCUGAGUGAAUACAACAGCCCCUCCUGCAUAAGCAUAUUUGUUCAGGUGAUGUUUGAGGGAAGAGCUGCAGAACGACUUUCAUCUGCUGGCUCAGAAGAACCAGUGUCUCUUUAAGACCUCCAGAUCCCUUGGAAAGUGAGACCACCUGGAGAGCAGAGGAGAUCAGCUGGAGCUCCAGGCACAGCUGAUGACUGGCACAGCUGAGCCUGUGGGAAGCUCUCAUAGCUCCUGCCUUCUCUCUUGCUGUUGACAGCCCUCAGAACCUGCCCAUUCCCUUUCUUCCCUCCCAGCUCAUCCCUUUGCUUUGCCUUCCAUUAAUAAACAGUUUGGCUUCUUUGCUUUACCUGCA
Long non-coding RNA from Haemorhous mexicanus (house finch), 1046 nucleotides. RefSeq lists it as uncharacterized. The record is from RefSeq and is a predicted model, not a curated record. Lineage: Eukaryota; Metazoa; Chordata; Aves; Passeriformes; Fringillidae. The transcript is spliced from 2 exons.